UUUGAGCGAACAGGGAAGAGCCCAGCACCGAACCCCGCAGGCUGCCGCCUGUCGUGGCAUGUGGUGUUUGGGAGGGUCCACUACCCCGACGCCUCGCGCCGAGCCCAAGUCCAACUUGAAUGAGGCCACGGCCCGUAGAGGGUGCCAGGCCCGUAGCGGCCGGUGCGAGCGUCGGCGGGACCUCUCCUUCGAGUCGGGUUGCUUGAGAGUGCAGCUCCAAGUGGGUGGUAAACUCCAUCUGAGACUAAAUAUGACCACGAGACCGAUAGCGAACAAGUACCGUGAGGGAAAGUUGAAAAGAACUUUGAAGAGAGAGUUCWRAAGKACGUGAAACGUUCUGGGAAACGUGAGAAGUCCGAAAGGUCGAACGGGUGAGAUUCACGCCCAUCCGGCCACUGGCCCCCGCCCUCGGCAGAUGGGGCCGGCCGCCCGCGCGGAGCAAUCCGCGGCGGGGUCGUGUCCGGUUGCCUUUCCACUCGCCGCGGGGUGGGGCCGUUCCGGUGUGCGGUGGGCCGCACUUCUCCCCUAGUAGGACGUCGCGACCCGCUGGGUGCCGGCCUACGGCCCGGGUGCGCAGCCUGUCCUUCCGCGGGCCUCGGUUCGCGUCUGUUGGGCAGAGCCCCGGUGUCCUGGCUGGCUGCUCGGCGGUAUAUCUGGAGGAGUCGAUUCGCCCCUUUGGGCGCUCGGGCUCCCGGCAAGCGCGCGCGGUUCUUCCCGGAUGACGGACCUACCUGGCCCGGCCCCGGACCCGCGCCGCUGUUGGCUCGGGAUGCUCUCGGGCGGAAUAAUCGCUCCCGUCAGCGGCGCUUCAGCUUUGGACAAUUUCACGACCCGUCUUGAAACACGGACCAAGGAGUCUAACAUGUGCGCGAGUCAUUGGGCUGUACGAAACCUAAAGGCGUAAUGAAAGUGAAGGUCUCGCCUUGCGCGGGCCGAGGGAGGAUGGGGCUUCCCCGCCCUUCACGGGGCGGCGGCCUCCGCACUCCCGGGGCGUCUCGUCCUCAUUGCGAGGUGAGGCGCACCUAGAGCGUACACGUUGGGACCCGAAAGAUGGUGAACUAUGCCUGGCCAGGACGAAGUCAGGGGAAACCCUGAUGGAGGUCCGUAGCGAUUCUGACGUGCAAAUCGAUCGUCGGAGCUGGGUAUAGGGGCGAAAGACUAAUCGAACCAUCUAGUAGCUGGUUCCCUCCGAAGUUUCCCUCAGGAUAGCUGGUGCUCGUACGAGUCUCAUCCGGUAAAGCGAAUGAUUAGAGGCCUUGGGGCCGAAACGACCUCAACCUAUUCUCAAACUUUAAAUGGGUGAGAUCUCCGGCUUGCUUGAUAUGCUGAAGCCGCGAGCAAACGACUCGGAUCGGAGUGCCAAGUGGGCCACUUUUGGUAAGCAGAACUGGCGCUGUGGGAUGAACCAAACGCCGAGUUAAGGCGCCCGAAUCGACGCUCAUGGGAAACCAUGAAAGGCGUUGGUUGCUUAAGACAGCAGGACGGUGGCCAUGGAAGUCGGAAUCCGCUAAGGAGUGUGUAACAACUCACCUGCCGAAGCAACUAGCCCUGAAAAUGGAUGGCGCUGAAGCGUCGUGCCUAUACUCGGCCGUCAGUCUGGCAGUCAUGGCCGGUCCUUGCGGCCGGCCGCGAAGCCCUGACGAGUAGGAGGGUCGCGGCGGUGGGCGCAGAAGGGUCUGGGCGUGAGCCUGCCUGGAGCCGCCGUCGGUGCAGAUCUUGGUGGUAGUAGCAAAUACUCCAGCGAGGCCCUGGAGGGCUGACGCGGAGAAGGGUUUCGUGUGAACAGCCGUUGCACACGAGUCAGUCGAUCCUAAGCCCUAGGAGAAAUCCGAUGUUGAUGGGGGCCGUCAUAGCAUGAUGCACUUUGUGCUGGCCCCCGUUGGGCGAAAGGGAAUCCGGUUCCUAUUCCGGAACCCGGCAGCGGAACCGAUACAAGUCGGGCCCCUCUUUUAGAGAUGCUCGUCGGGGUAACCCAAAAGGACCCGGAGACGCCGUCGGGAGAUCGGGGAAGAGUUUUCUUUUCUGCAUGAGCGUUCGAGUUCCCUGGAAUCCUCUAGCAGGGAGAUAGGGUUUGGAACGCGAAGAGCACCGCAGUUGCGGCGGUGUCCCGAUCUUCCCCUCGGACCUUGAAAUCCGGGAGAGGGCCACGUGGAGGUGUCGCCCCGGUUCGUACCCAUAUCCGCAGCA
This 2187-nucleotide ribosomal RNA is filed under the name Rhadinacris schistocercoides. RNAcentral describes it as "eukaryotic LSU rRNA". It matches the Rfam family "Eukaryotic large subunit ribosomal RNA", at positions 88 to 1862 of the family's 3401-position model. The record is from RNAcentral. Lineage: Eukaryota; Metazoa; Arthropoda; Insecta; Orthoptera; Acrididae.